This 253-nucleotide ribosomal RNA is filed under the name uncultured bacterium. RNAcentral's name for it is "partial 16S ribosomal RNA". It matches the Rfam family "Bacterial small subunit ribosomal RNA", at positions 524 to 776 of the family's 1533-position model. The record is from RNAcentral.
UACGUAGGUGGCGAGCGUUAUCCGGAAUUACUGGGCGUAAAGCGCACGCAGGCGGUCUUUUAAGUUUGACGUGAAAGCUCCCGGCUUAACUGGGAGAGGUCGUUGAAGACUGGAAGACUUGAGGCAAUGAGAGGGAUGCAGAAUUCCAGGUGUAGUGGUGGAAUGCGUAGAUAUCUGGAGGAAUACCAGUGGCGAAAGCGGCAUCCUAGCGUUAGCCUGACGCUCAUGUGCGAAAGCGUGGGGAGCGAACGGG